AGGAACUUCUACAUGCUCUAGGUGUGUAGGGCCCCACCCAUGGCAUAUGGAGUUCCCAG
RNAcentral lists this non-coding RNA (59 nucleotides) under Sus scrofa (pig). Lineage: Eukaryota; Metazoa; Chordata; Mammalia; Artiodactyla; Suidae. The record is from RNAcentral.